RNAcentral lists this ribosomal RNA (498 nucleotides) under uncultured bacterium. Its description in RNAcentral is "partial 16S ribosomal RNA". It matches the Rfam family "Bacterial small subunit ribosomal RNA", at positions 28 to 507 of the family's 1533-position model. The record is from RNAcentral.
GACGAACGCUGGCGGCGUGCCUAAUACAUGCAAGUCGAACGAGAGCGACCGGUGCUUGCACUGGUCAAUCUAGUGGCGAACGGGUGAGUAACACGUGGGUAACCUGCCCAUCAGAGGGGGAUAACAUCCGGAAACGGAUGCUAAAACCGCAUAGGUCUUCGAACCGCAUGGUUUGAAGAGGAAAAGAGGCGCAAGCUUCUGCUGAUGGAUGGACCCGCGGUGCAUUAGCUAGUUGGUGAGGUAACGGCUCACCAAGGCCGUGAUGCAUAGCCGACCUGAGAGGGUGAUCGGCCACAUUGGGACUGAGACACGGCCCAAACUCCUACGGGAGGCAGCAGUAGGGAAUCUUCCGCAAUGGACGCAAGUCUGACGGAGCAACGCCGCGUGAGUGAAGAAGGUUUUCGGAUCGUAAAACUCUGUUGUUAGCGAAGAACAAGUGCUAGAGUAACUGUUAGCGCCUUGACGGUAUCUAACCAGAAAGCCACGGCUAACUACGUG